GAGAUCCGGAAGUGGCGCUCCGGGGAGAAGGUGGCUGCGGCUGCUGGGGCCGCUGCGCCGGCGGCGGUUCCCGAUGUGGAGGUCCGUCUUGGGUGGGGAGGCACCCAGGUCGCUGGUUCGAUGCAGAGGAAGAAACCACACCUAGCACGUCUUCUUUUAUGGAAAAAGAUGCACGCAAAGACUAUAGGCCAAGUACAACAACAAGAUAUUACAGCAAAAGGAACCUCUCAGACUGAAGGUACCCACUAUGCAGACUCUGGUGCUUAUUAUUUCCAAGAACAUCUUAUACUUUCACUACAGUUUUAUGAACUACAUGUCUCCAAAAUUUAUAUGAAUGAUAGGUACUCAUCAUUCUGCAAAUUAUUUUUUUCCCAUACAACAUUAUGUGCUUGAGAUUAAUCCAUGCUGAUACGUUUACUGCUAAACGGGUCAUUUUAACUACUAUAUGGUGUUCUAUUAUGUGAAUAUUGAUUAUUUAUUUACCCAUUCUCAUGCUAGGGGACAUUGAUUUUUUUUUAGUUUUUCUCUAUUACAAACAAUAUUUCAGAGAAUAUUCCUGCCCAUGUAUCUUUCUGCAGAUGUGUUUGAGUUUCUCUAGUGGAAUCACUGAGUUAAAGGGAUAUGUAUCUUUAAUUUCACUGGUCUAGGCCAAAUAUCUGAUUCACUUGCCCAUAUUCUUACUGAGAUGGUUGGUCAAGUUAUGUAUUUAUUUUUUCAUUUUCUUUUUUUAUUUUGCCCCGGGCAGGAAAUGAAGUGUUAAUCAAGUUGACAAGAGCAUCAUCUUUCUAUUUCUAACCUUUUCUAGAUUUAAACAGAUAGAAAUAUGGCAGAAUUCUUUUAGAAGUCAAGAAGACUAACAUAAAAUAAGGAGCUUUCAGAUGGAUCUUGAUCAGAACCACAUAAAAAUAUGGCCAUGUCCUGUCAUCGCAUUAUGAAAUUUACAACACAGCACUGUCAAUAUGUGAUGUUGCAAAAACACAGUGCCACAUGGUAAACAUUGCCGAGGUCUGUGAAUAAAUCCCUCUGAGAGCUUAUGACUCUUUAUGACCCAGUUCACAAAUGAAAUAACUUUUAGAGUAGAGAAACAUUGACUUUUUAGAUCAAGAUAAUGGGAAAUGUUAAAUUCUGACCCAUAACACCAACUGAACUACUGUUUUAAUGCUGUCCUUAAAUAGGCAACAUGUCUAUUAGUUUAAUUUGGUGUUCUAAAUGCUGGAUCUUAUGCAAUUCCUUUAGCCUUGUAUUUAAGAUGAUCUAUUUGGAAAGAUAGGUUAUGGGAAAACUUUCUUAGUCUCAGCCCCUGCAAUUAAACAGUUUAUGUUUCCUCAUUCAACAAAUAUUAAAAUAUAAUAAAGAAUAUGAAAGUAUUUAUAUUAUCUACUUAACAUAGUUUUUUUCCCUAUAUUCAUUUUCUUAUUUAGAUAAAAGAUGUAGGGCAUGAACAAUGCAGUUUCACUGGGAGGUUUACCUUGGUAAAAAGACAGGAGCUAUUACAUUCUAUCUUGUCAAUGAUCCAUGGAUAAUGGGUCAGCAGGGGAUUUAAGAACUGUAUCUUUCAGUUCUUGCCAGAGAGAUACAUCAAUGUGCACUGAUGUGAGCUAUAAUAUGACACACCUUGCAGAACCCUCAAAACCCUUCAGGCACUCUAAGCUGCUUUUAUGAAGAUACGGGACUAAAGGUUGUCAGUUAAGGAUGGUAUUUUGUAAAUAAUUUCGGUAACAGAAUGAUUUCCCUAUUUCUCCAUAUUAAAUUCUAAUGCAUAAGAAUUAAUCCUCAGGUUUAAAAGUCCUUAGUUUUGUUUUGAUUAUUUCCAUUACAUUAGCAGCAGAUCUGUUUUUACCGAUAGGGUAAAACAGACCCAAUAUAUGCGUUGGUUUAUACAUACAUUAUUUUAUAUAUACAUUGUUUAUUGUUAAGUGGGGGUGGAGGGAAGCAAGUUGAAAAAUAGUAUUACAGUAGAUCCUAUUUGUGUGUGAUUGUCCAGAUUAGUUGGGGUGGGAGCAGAUAAUAAGAAAUUUACCUUAUACACUUAUAUACUGUUUGAAUAUUUUAAAAUAAGUAUGAUUGUUUUUAUCAUCUAAAAAAUAAGUAAAUUUACUUUUCAAUGUAAAAAUAUUACUUUCA
Long non-coding RNA from Homo sapiens (human), 2124 nucleotides. Ensembl annotates it as VPS13B divergent transcript. Its record names the gene VPS13B-DT. Lineage: Eukaryota; Metazoa; Chordata; Mammalia; Primates; Hominidae. The record is from Ensembl.